Molecule: long non-coding RNA, 1678 nt
Organism: Megalobrama amblycephala (Wuchang bream)
Lineage: Eukaryota; Metazoa; Chordata; Actinopteri; Cypriniformes; Xenocyprididae
Exons: 2
Source: RefSeq, a predicted model, not a curated record
UACUUGGCUCAAAAAAAAAAAAAAAAAGGAAGGGCCAUGUGUCCUCGCUUCUGUGCAUGUGCUAGAAAAAUCAUUGGCUGUUUCAGAUGCUUUAAUCUGUCAAAUAAAUGAACAUUGAUUUGUGUCAUAAUUGUGUGAUUCAAUGUUUGUGCAAAUAAGAUAUGGUGACAGUUUGUCACAUCACUUUCUCUGAGCUUUUGCGAACAAAAUGUAUAAUUAUGUGAAAAUUUGUCAUGAGGUGAUAAAAUGAACAUUGAUUAAUUUGUUUAAUAUCUGUUUUCCCGUGAGUGUUGACUGUUCUAAUGUGACAAUACAGCACAGAUCUCAUAUACAGAAUUAUAUAGUGCACUCUGCUCAGACGGCAUACAGUAAGUGUUAAUAGCUGCUUGUCACAUCCACCUGGGUUCAUAUGCUUGUUUGUUUGGCACUCUGUCACUUUGAAUUGCUGGCAAGUGGCACCAAUGCACACUGGCACAAUGCCCUCAGGGGUGUAAUAGUUUCUCUCACUCACUCACUCUCUCACUCAAACUCACCCAUCACAAUUAUCAUGCCACAACCACUCAGUGCUCAUUGGAGGUCAUCUCAGAAUGACAGCUGUCACUGCUUUCUGAUUACCCCCACCUGGGAGAGAAUUAAAGACAAAUAAACCAGCGGUAAAUGGUGUGUGCGUGUUUGUGUUUGACGUGGCUACCCAACAGCCUCUUGUUUCCUCACAUCUUUCUAACACAGUGGAGGCAUCCGAGCUGACUGUACAGCACCAGAGGAAGAUCCUCCAGAUAUCCCUACACCUUCCAACCCCUCAGAGAAAGAGUCUGAAAGCUGUGGAGCGCCGUGUCGGAGAGAGGAGGGGGUCUGGUGAAAUGAGGGAAACAUUGAAGGAUCGCUCCACAUCCCAAUGAGAGAAUUUGGUGUGGAAGUGAGUUUGUGUAUGCAAGUGAUCGAUACCAGCAACCCAUCUCGCUCAUCUUGAACACACACGCGAACGCACCCAGGGUGCAACAGUGCUGUCUCACUCCGCCUCGUAAUGAGUGUGUAGGCUCAACACUGGCAGAUGGGAGAAAUGCCACCGUUGCAGAGCGUGUCACUCAGCUGUGAUAAGAUGUAUUAGAGAGGAACCGCUCCUUAAAUCAUGAGAGUAUAAGCAUAUGUUGUUUGUGCUACUUUGUUUGCUUCUGGCUGGAUUUUUUUCUGCCUGUUUUAUUUGUGAACUUGCUGUGAUGUGGCGGGUCUUCAACAGCUGGCUCAGUCAAAGAUGUUUAAUCUGGGUAAAUUUAUGGGAAAAAGGAAUCAGAAUUGGAGACGAAACGUUAAAAAUUGCUAAAAGAGCUGUGAAGUGAUGUGCUGCUGUAGGUCGGUAGAGUAACAGAUCAAAAAUAUCAGUCAGAAAGCAAAGCUAUUUGUCUAUCACUUUCCACAUUAUUUGUUAUAGCUCUAGAUGGAAGUUUGGGAUGAGCAUGUAAAUCUAAUCCUGUCAAAAACACAAGGACAUACAUUAGCAUUUAAAAGUUUGGGGUCAGUUAGAUAUAUAUAUAUAUAUAUAUAUAUAUAUAUAUAUAUAUAUGUAUAUGUGUUUUUGAAAGAAGUCUUUUAUCCUCACCAAAGCUGCAUUUAACAGUAUUAAUGUGUAAUAUUGAUACAAUUUAUAUAAAAAUAAAUAAAUGUUUUCUAUUUGAAUGUA